AGUGAACGCUGGCGGUAGGCCUAACACAUGCAAGUCGAACGGCAGCACAGUAAGAGCUUGCUCUUACGGGUGGCGAGUGGCGGACGGGUGAGGAAUACAUCGGAAUCUACUUUUUCGUGGGGGAUAACGUAGGGAAACUUACGCUAAUACCGCAUACGACCUACGGGUGAAAGCAGGGGAUCUUCGGACCUUGCGCGAUUGAAUGAGCCGAUGUCGGAUUAGCUAGUUGGCGGGGUAAAGGCCCACCAAGGCGACGAUCCGUAGCUGGUCUGAGAGGAUGAUCAGCAACACUGGAACUGAGACACGGUCCAGCCUCCUCCGGGAGGCAGCAGUGGGGAAUAUUGGACAAUGGGCGCAAGCCUGCUCCAGCCAUACCGCGUGGGUGAAGAAGGCCUUCGGGUUGUAAAGCCCUUUUGUUGGGAAAGAAAACCAGCAGGUUAAUACCCUCAUGUUCUGACGGUACCCAAAGAAUAAGCACCGGCUAACUUCGUG
This 492-nucleotide ribosomal RNA is filed under the name uncultured bacterium. RNAcentral describes it as "partial 16S ribosomal RNA". It matches the Rfam family "Bacterial small subunit ribosomal RNA", at positions 29 to 507 of the family's 1533-position model. The record is from RNAcentral.